Molecule: ribosomal RNA, 253 nt
Filed under: uncultured bacterium
Lineage: Bacteria
Description: partial 16S ribosomal RNA
Rfam family: Bacterial small subunit ribosomal RNA
Source: RNAcentral
UACGGAGGGUGCAAGCGUUAAUCGGAAUUACUGGGCGUAAAGCGUGCGCAGGCGGUUUGUUAAGUCUGCUGUGAAAUCCCCGAGCUCAACUUGGGAAUUGCAGUGGAUACUGGCAAGCUGGAAUACGGUAGAGGAAGGUGGAAUUCCCGGUGUAGCAGUGAAAUGCGUAGAUAUCGGAAGGAACACCAGUGGCGAAAGCGGCUUCCUGGUCCGACACCGACGUUCAGGCACGAAAGCGUGGGGAGCAAACAGG